Molecule: ribosomal RNA, 202 nt
Filed under: uncultured bacterium
Lineage: Bacteria
Description: partial 16S ribosomal RNA
Rfam family: Bacterial small subunit ribosomal RNA
Source: RNAcentral
AGUCUACGGGGAGGCAGCAGGUGGGGAAUUUUGGACAAUGGGCGAAAGCCUGAUCCAGCAAUGCCGCGUGUGUGAUGAAGGCCUUCGGGUUGUAAAGCACUUUUGGCGGGAACGAAAAGGACUGUGCCAAUACCACGGUUCGAUGACGGUACCCGCAGAAUAAGCACCGGCUAACUACGUGCCAGCAGCCGCGGUAAUGACU